GAGGGUAUAGCCCAGUGGUAGAGCACAUGCUUAGCAUGCACAGUCCUGGGUUCAAUCCCCAGGACCUCCA
This 70-nucleotide transfer RNA is filed under the name Camelus bactrianus (Bactrian camel). It matches the Rfam family "tRNA". Rfam says of the family: Transfer RNA (tRNA) molecules are approximately 80 nucleotides in length. Their secondary structure includes four short double-helical elements and three loops (D, anti-codon, and T loops). Further hydrogen bonds mediate the characteristic L-shaped molecular structure. tRNAs have two regions of fundamental functional importance: the anti-codon, which is responsible for specific mRNA codon recognition, and the 3' end, to which the tRNAs corresponding amino acid is attached (by aminoacyl-tRNA synthetases). tRNAs cope with the degeneracy of the genetic code in two manners: having more than one tRNA (with a specific anti-codon) for a particular amino acid; and 'wobble' base-pairing, i.e. permitting non-standard base-pairing at the 3rd anti-codon position. RNAcentral also lists the same sequence under 2 other names. The record is from Rfam by way of RNAcentral. Lineage: Eukaryota; Metazoa; Chordata; Mammalia; Artiodactyla; Camelidae.